Molecule: ribosomal RNA, 429 nt
Filed under: Acidobacteriota bacterium
Lineage: Bacteria; Pseudomonadati; Acidobacteriota
Description: Acidobacteria bacterium partial 16S ribosomal RNA
Rfam family: Bacterial small subunit ribosomal RNA
Source: RNAcentral
UGGGGAAUUUUGGACAAUGGGGGAAACCCUGAUCCAGCCAUCCCGCGUGUGCGAUGAAGGCCUUCGGGUUGUAAAGCACUUUUGGCAGGAAAGAAACGUCAUGGGUUAAUACCCCGUGAAACUGACGGUACCUGCAGAAUAAGCACCGGCUAACUACGUGCCAGCAGCCGCGGUAAUACGAAGGGUGCAAGCGUUAAUCGGAAUUACUGGGCGUAAAGCGUGCGCGGGCGGUUCGGAAAGAAAGAUGUGAAAUCCCAGAGCUCAACUUUGGAACUGCAUUUUUAACUACCGGGCUAGAGUGUGUCAGAGGGAGGUGGAAUUCCGCGUGUAGCAGUGAAAUGCGUAGAUAUGCGGAGGAACACCGAUGGCGAAGGCAGCCUCCUGGGAUAACACUGACGCUCAUGCACGAAAGCGUGGGGAGCAAACAGG